UGGGGUGUGGCUCAGCGGUAGAGUGUUUGCUUAGUAUGUGUGAGGCCCUGGGUUCGAUUCUCAGCACCACAU
Molecule: transfer RNA, 72 nt
Filed under: Urocitellus parryii (Arctic ground squirrel)
Lineage: Eukaryota; Metazoa; Chordata; Mammalia; Rodentia; Sciuridae
Also listed under: 2 other names
Description: Spermophilus parryii (Arctic ground squirrel) tRNA
Rfam family: tRNA
About the family: Transfer RNA (tRNA) molecules are approximately 80 nucleotides in length. Their secondary structure includes four short double-helical elements and three loops (D, anti-codon, and T loops).
Source: Rfam by way of RNAcentral